This 24-nucleotide microRNA is filed under the name Gallus gallus (chicken). Its description in RNAcentral is "gga-miR-12233-5p". Lineage: Eukaryota; Metazoa; Chordata; Aves; Galliformes; Phasianidae. The record is from miRBase by way of RNAcentral.
GAGGGAACCGGUGGGGGGCACGGA